Molecule: non-coding RNA, 616 nt
Organism: Pelobates cultripes (western spadefoot toad)
Lineage: Eukaryota; Metazoa; Chordata; Amphibia; Anura; Pelobatidae
Source: the annotation of a GenBank genome assembly
AUAAUCAAUAAAGGCAGAUCCUCCACUUUGACCAUCAUGAGGUUAGUCAGGAGACUAGUGUGGUUGGCAGCCACUCUACACUUUCAACUCACAUGCGAGCACAUACCGGGCCACCACAACACCGCAGCUGAUGCCCUGUCUCGCUCUAACUUUCAGGUGUUCCGUCAAGAACAUCCCACGGCCGAGACAAACCCAUACAACCCUCCAUUGUUCCAGGACCUCAUCCUGGACUAAAUGCACUUCUGGCUCACGGCAGACUACUAGCACAGUCAGCACUCUCAGCAAACACCAGGCGGUCCAAUUUUCAACAGGUUCGUCACAGAAUAAACCCAUGGUCAUUACAUACCAUGGUGGCAUUUACACCUAAAACUGACACAUAAUACAAUAAAAUUAUACCUCACGGGUAUACAACAUCACCUCACAAACACAUAUCCCAGUCACAGAACUUUUAUGUCCACUAAUCCAAUUAGAAACGUUUUAAAAGGUAUCUUACGACUCGAAGUACAAAAACCCACUAAACGUCAAUCAAUAGACGCAAUGCAUUAACCGAUACAUUGGAUACACUGCCAUUUGAAAACAAAACGAACAAUACAUUAAAAAUGGCUAUUUAUCUAGC